CCUCGGCUGUGCGUGGGAACUGAGCGAGGGCAGAGUUGGGGGCCCAUCCCUCCAGGGGAGGCUGCGAGGAGGCUGGGAUUAGGAGGCCCCAGCGGAGCCCAGGGAGGGGUUCAUCAGACUGUAACUUAGGCCAGCAGAGCUUGGUGGCCCCAGACAGGCUCCGUCCACCAGACGGGUGCACCUCGAGAGCAGCCGCCGCCCACACUGCAGGCCAGGCAUUGGCCGGAGCCCUGUGCCGGGUGGGAGCUGCCCUGGGGCCUGGAGGACCCUCCGGCCACCACCAGCCUUAAGUCAAAUUGUUCACAUUCUUUGUGGCUGGGGUAAAGGAUAAGGACAUUUUUGUGGCAAGAACAAAAUUGUUGACCUUGGAGUUGAAUAUUUUUGAACAGCUUUUGACUGUAGACAAGAUUAAAAGUCAGGGAAGAUGGACGUUGUGUUUGGUGGACGCUGGUGCGUGCGGCCUCGGGGAAGCACUCUGAUGCCCCCACACUGCACCCUGCAACCGAGGGCUGACAUGAGGGAACGAUGGUUAUCCCUGUGACUUUGCUGGCCAGGGCUCCAGGGGGCAGAGGCUGCCUGCCCAGACCUGCAGUUCAGCUUCUCUGCUCUUCGUACCCCUAGAACAAGAGGCCCUGGGGCCUGCACCAGGCAGCUUCGGGGGCACAGGCCGAGCUCCAGAGUGCCCAGGCCACAGAGAACCGCCCACACAAGACCACGGCACCGUCAGCGCCCAUAGAGCCUCCCGAGGUAAAACGAGAGCCUCGGGGACUCGGGAAAUCCAUGGCACACUUUUCACCUCCCCAGGCGCAGCUGAGUGCCUCUCCCGGCGCUCCAGAAACCUCCUGGUCUCUGCUGCUUGUUCAGCUUCUCAGUCGGAGCCAGGCACCUGCAGCCCUGGAGGAACCUGGCGGUGAGUUUCCAGACGGGACGCAGCGCCUCCGGCUCAUGCCUGACCUCCUGGACUGAUCCAAGGCCAGUCAGCCCUGAGGAGAGGCCAAGACCACAUUCUCCUGGAAAGCAAGUGGACCCAGGACUGGGCAGGGACGAAAGUCCCCGCUCCAGCUCCCAGGCGGGUGCUGUUCCAUGAAACAAGCUGGAGACCUCAGACUCACCCAGGAGAAGAGUGGUACCUGUUUACUGCAGACACCGUGGGGCUUUGAAGGGAGGGACGUGAGGCCCUGGGGCGCCAGCUUCCGAGGGGAGAGGGAGUGACGGGGGAAGUGUGAGCAGCCCACGGAGCAGAGGCGGCGACUCGGUGUCUUGUGGUGCGUCUGAGGAGCAGUGGGAGCGCCUCUCGCCUCCCCCGCGCCCCGGGGAGUCCGUGGUUCCUUGAGGAUCUGACGUCAGGAAUUGAGAGCCUCUCCCCACAUCCACCGCUUUUCAAGAGACUCUGGCUACUUUGGGGUGGCGCAUCCUGAACUCCAGUCACUGGGGCGCCUGGGCCCCACCGGGGACCUGCCUCUUCCCAGGCGCGCUCACCUGUCUCCCCAGGUGUGCCUGGCAGGGCGCAUGCUGGGCCCGCGGGGAGCAGGGCUGGUUUCCACAGGCAGCGCUGCGGCCCCAGACCCUGAGCCGAGGGACCGCGAAACACCCUCCCCCACUAUCCCCUCCUGAGACACUGCGGUGAGGGAGCCGCCGCGGAAGGACAGCAGAAGUCCAGGUGCCGUAGCUGGGAGACAGCUCAGGGGGAGACCCUCGCGCCAGUGGCCCGGGCAGAUUUGCGCCCAGGGCUGGGAAGGAUAACUGGGCCCCCAGACUCUGGCAACUCGCAGGCGGUUAGACACAGCGCCGGGCGUGGGAGCCGAAGCGUCGUUCCCUUCCUGGCAUAUGUCAGGGGCACAGCACGCGGGGCGGGUGGGUCCUGCCCUGCCCUUCUCCAGGACACAGACGCACGCGUGAAUGUGUAACGCACAACACACGUCCGCAAACAGGAACACACACGCAGGGAGGCACGGAGCCGCACCUUCUUUGCAGAAUCAUAAUAGCAGCUA
This is a long non-coding RNA of Cercocebus atys (sooty mangabey), 1991 nucleotides long. RefSeq lists it as uncharacterized. NCBI's taxonomy places the organism in Eukaryota, Metazoa, Chordata, Mammalia, Primates, Cercopithecidae. The record is from RefSeq and is a predicted model, not a curated record. The transcript has 2 exons.